This 409-nucleotide long non-coding RNA is filed under the name Androctonus crassicauda. Lineage: Eukaryota; Metazoa; Arthropoda; Arachnida; Scorpiones; Buthidae. The record is from RNAcentral.
GUUUUUUGAUAUGUUUUUUCUUUAUUUCGGUAAUUUUUACUUUAAUUUUUUAUAAAUUUUUGAAUUUAUAAUCAAAAACAUGACAUAUGUAAAAAUUGUCCACUUUCGUACAGAAACAACUAUAACAUUUUUAUUUUACUUUAAUUGGCCUGGGGAUGCUUUGUUGAUACAGUACACUCAAUACCACAUUUACUGCAGUAAAGUAGGCUUGGCUAUGGUUUCCUGCAAAACAAUUGGCCACCAUCAAACAAUAAAAGUGUCACAUCUCCUUUUAUUGCCUGGAAUUAAAUUUACAUUAAGACUUUCUCAUAUUUUAUUAAAUUAUGUGUAAAAGUAAAGCAAUAAAUGAACAAAUAAAUAAAAAUAUUGAUUAUUUUUAACAGAAUUAAACAAAAGUUUUCUAUUAUCA